Helicoverpa zea (corn earworm) is the source of this 538-nucleotide long non-coding RNA. RefSeq lists it as uncharacterized. The record is from RefSeq and is a predicted model, not a curated record. The transcript is spliced from 2 exons. NCBI's taxonomy places the organism in Eukaryota, Metazoa, Arthropoda, Insecta, Lepidoptera, Noctuidae.
UAUAAUUCAAACUAAGGCUCUUUUUUAUGUUGCUCCUAUGAUAUUUUGAUACUACGGUCGGUCUGUGGGUGUCACCAUCUAUGUCAUAGUGAGUUCCUCUGUUCCGGGAGACACGUACAAUUGUGAAUUUUCCGGAUGAUAGUAUUCAAACAUGAAUGUCAGUGCGCGCCCUGGAAUCGACCGGGCGUCCCGCCGCGCCACUGAGGCAUCUCGCUCGGGUCCCGGCCCGCGGAUGUCGCGCGCAUGCGUGCGCCGCGCCACCCACGCCUGUCGCCGCCACACUGCGAGCUGUACAUUACGUGUGGACACUGUGCGGCCGCACGCACCUGUGCUCUACAUAUAGCAAUAAGCAGCGUACGCGCUGUUACGAGCGACCGCUAGCCUCACGCGCCAAGCAUCACAAUGAGCGGUCACUGAUAGGACAAGAAGCAUAAAAAUGACGUCACCACUCCGCUCCAGAGUGCCACGAUGGAGAGAUGUAUUUCUUGUUAUAUUUGAUUAUCUCUUAUAGCAAAUUAUAAUCACUGGUUCAUGUUUA